RNAcentral lists this non-coding RNA (23 nucleotides) under Arabidopsis thaliana (thale cress). Lineage: Eukaryota; Viridiplantae; Streptophyta; Magnoliopsida; Brassicales; Brassicaceae. The record is from RNAcentral.
AUAUGUCGCAUCUGAAAGUGCUU